This is a long non-coding RNA of Physeter macrocephalus (sperm whale), 2188 nucleotides long. RefSeq lists it as uncharacterized. Lineage: Eukaryota; Metazoa; Chordata; Mammalia; Artiodactyla; Physeteridae. The record is from RefSeq and is a predicted model, not a curated record. The transcript is spliced from 3 exons.
GGUCGGUCGGGCGGGGCGGGGCGGGGCGGGGCGGGGGGGGGCGGGGCGGGGCCCCCGGUAGGCCAGAGGUCCCGGAGACUUUCGGUUUCCUUUCUCGUCUCCUGCGCUCAGUUUCCAGUUUCGUUUCACCGCGUUUCAGUUGUGUGAGCUCGCGGGGGGUUUGAGCGUCCUUCCGCCACAACAUCCAGCAAGAGGCAGCAGAGGACUUUGGGAUUUGGGCGUGAAAUAGAGGGAAAUGAGGCAGAGAAAUCCGGGACAUCUAUCUAAACAAGAUAAAAUCAAGAAGAGGCGGAAUUAGAAAUAGGUGAAAUGUGUCCACCUAAAAAAUGUUCACAACCUAGAAGUUGAGAGUUACGUUUUACUCGGCAGGAAUUUUUAGGACUUCAAGCCCAGGAGGCAGCCUCUCAAGAAACCCUGAGAAACUGCUCUGAGGAGGUGAGGGGGGCGGAGCCAAAUUACAUAGUUUUUGCAACGAAGGGCAGGUAGUCUGAACGUCAGGAGAUUAUUGUUAAUUAAGGAAAACCAGAUAUCCCAAGCUCUCCGGGGCCAGUGUUUUCACAUCCUGAGUUUCCGCGUGGCUCACCGCAGGGAGUGGCUGCAGUCUGAUGGCUGCUAGACGGCAGGCCAGUGUGGGCAUCACCACUCCUCACCUGGAUGGCUGAAACAGCUCUUCCCCGCUGGACUGCAGUCGGUCCCUCCAUCCCAUUUCCACCUGCUGCCAGGGUCACCAGUGAGCAUGGAAAACGGAGCCUGUCCAGUACCUGUUGAACACACACCAGUGCUUCCUCAUUGCUUCUGGAUUAAAGCAACCUACUAGUCCUUCUUCUUUGGGACCCUCCAACCGUUUGAUAGGUCUCCUUCCACCCGCGCUCGAGUCAGGGGCCACAGCCAAGUGCAGGACCCCUGUCCUGGACAGAUGUGAUUGACAGGUGGUUUGUCCCAUGUACUCACAGCCCCGGAAGGAGCCAGCACCCCAGGCAGGGCACACAGGCCAGGACCGGGGAGCAAAGUCACCAGGUGUGACUGCAGAAGGCAGAUUGGUCAUAACCAGAGGGUGGGGUGACCCUGGCUCCCUUGGGAAGUCGUGAUUGCUUGCUGAAAUAAUCGUGCUGGUGGUCAGGGAGUGACAACUCCUGGGUAAAUGCAGCUGAUCUGGAGGACAGAGGAACUGGCCAGGGUGGGGGGGGGUCGGGCAUGGGGGUAUAUCUGCUCUCACCUGACAAGCCCCCCAGAGAGCUGAUGUGCCCCUGGAGGAACUCAGGGAUCCCUGGGAGGCUCAAAGAUGUCGAGGAUGUCAAGGCAGUGAAGGUUCCCCAAAAUAUGGCACCUCAGCACAUGGAGCAUCUCAGCUGGACGGCAAGAAGCAGGAAGGUCACUCCAACCACCACCUUUACAUUCUUCCCUGAAAUCAGGAGACACCCCUCACCCCCCAUCCCCCGGGACCAGAGGACAGAGGACAUCCUCAUCACCAGAGAGGGGGAACACAGGGCCAAGGAGGCAGAAGGCUGUGUGAAUUCACCUGGUCACUUCUCACCUUCUACUACCCCAGCCCAAAGCCCUCUGUCUUGCCGAUUCUUCACAUACUUAUUGUUUCUUUGUCUAAAAGGUAUAAAAUCUUCCUGCUCUGCACGCAUCCCUAUGUUCAUAGCAGCACUAUUCACAACAGCCAAGACAAGGGAGCAACCUAAAUGUCCAUCAACAGAUGAAUGGAUAAAGAAGGUGUGGUACAUAUAUACAAUGGAAUAUUACUCAGCCAUAAAAAAAGAAUAAAAUAAUGCCAUUUGCAGCAACGUGGAUGGAGCUGGAGAUUAUCCUACUAAGUAAAGUAAGUCAGACAGAGAAAGACAAAUAUCAUAUGAUAUCACUUAUAAGUGGAGUUCUAAAAUAUGACACAAACGAACUAAUUUACAAAACAGAAAUAGACUCACAGACAUAGAAAACAAACUUAUAGUUACCAGGAGCAAAAGGGGAGGGAUAAAUUGGGAGAUUGGGAUUGACAUAUACACACUACUGUAUAUAAAAUAGAUAACUAAUAAGGCCCUACUGUAGAGCACAGGGGACUCUACUCAAUACUCUGUAGUGGCCUAUAUGGGCAAAGAAUCUAAAAAAGAGCGGAUAUAUGCAUAUGUAUAACUGAUUGACUUUGCUUUACGCCUGAAACUAACCCAACAUUGUAAAUCAACUGUAU